UACGUAGGGUGCAAGCGUUGUCCGGAAUUACUGGGUGUAAAGCGCGUGUAGGCGGGAGGCCAAGUCUGCUGUGAAAUCGCCCGGCUCAACUGGGCGGGGUCGGUGGAAACUGGUCACCUGGAGGACGGUAGAGGCGAGUGGAAUUCCCGGUGUAGUGGUGAAAUGCGUAGAGAUCGGGAGGAACACCAGUGGCGAAGGCGGCUCGCUGGGCCGGACCUGACGCUGAGACGCGAAGGCGUGGGGAGCGAACGGG
RNAcentral lists this ribosomal RNA (253 nucleotides) under uncultured bacterium. RNAcentral's name for it is "partial 16S ribosomal RNA". It matches the Rfam family "Bacterial small subunit ribosomal RNA", at positions 524 to 776 of the family's 1533-position model. The record is from RNAcentral.